UUGGCCAAAACUCAUUGAUUAGCACAAGU
RNAcentral lists this non-coding RNA (29 nucleotides) under Homo sapiens (human). The record is from RNAcentral. Lineage: Eukaryota; Metazoa; Chordata; Mammalia; Primates; Hominidae.